RNAcentral lists this ribosomal RNA (432 nucleotides) under uncultured bacterium. Its description in RNAcentral is "bacterial SSU rRNA". It matches the Rfam family "Bacterial small subunit ribosomal RNA", at positions 50 to 526 of the family's 1533-position model. The record is from RNAcentral.
AACACAUGCAAGUCGAACGGGCGUAGCAAUACGUCAGCGGCAGACGGGUGAGUAACACGUGGGAACGUACCCCUUGGUUCGGAACAACACAGGGAAACUUGUGCUAAUACCGGAUAAGCCCUUACGGGGUAAGAUUUAUCGCCGAGAGAUCGGCCCGCGUCUGAUUAGCUAGUUGGUAGGGUAAUGGCCUGCCAAGGCGACGAUCAGUAGCUGGUCUGAGAGGAUGAUCAGCCACAUUGGGACUGAGACACGGCCCAAACUCCUACGGGAGGCAGCAGUGGGGAAUAUUGGACAAUGGGGGCAACCCUGAUCCAGCCAUGCCGCGUGAGUGAUGAAGGCCCUAGGGUUGUAAAGCUCUUUUGUGCGGGAAGAUAAUGACGGUACCGCAAGAAUAAGCCCCGGCUAACUUCGUGCCAGCAGCCGCGGUAAUAC